Molecule: ribosomal RNA, 290 nt
Filed under: uncultured Prevotella sp.
Lineage: Bacteria; Pseudomonadati; Bacteroidota; Bacteroidia; Bacteroidales; Prevotellaceae
Description: partial 16S ribosomal RNA
Rfam family: Bacterial small subunit ribosomal RNA
Source: RNAcentral
AAGUCGAGGGGAAACGAUAGAGAAAGCUUGCUUUUUCUAGGCGUCGACCGGCGCACGGGUGAGUAACGCGUAUCCAACCUGCCCAUCACUUGGGGAUAACCUUGCGAAAGUAAGACUAAUACCCAAUGACGUCUCUAGAAGACAUCUGAAGGAGAUUAAAGAUUUAUCGGUGAUGGAUGGGGAUGCGUCUGAUUAGCUUGUUGGCGGGGUAACGGCCCACCAAACCGACGAUGGAUAGGGGUUCUGAGAGGAAGGUCCCCACAUUGGUACUGAGAUACGGACCAAACUCC